AUUGAACGCUGGCGGCAUGCUUUACACAUGCAAGUCGAACGGUAACAGGCCGCAAGGUGCUGACGAGUGGCGAACGGGUGAGUAAUGCAUCGGAACGUGCCCAGUCGUGGGGGAUAACGCAGCGAAAGCUGCGCUAAUACCGCAUACGAUCUAUGGAUGAAAGCGGGGGACCGUAAGGCCUCGCGCGAUUGGAGCGGCCGAUGUCAGAUUAGGUAGUUGGUGGGGUAAAGGCUCACCAAGCCAACGAUCUGUAGCUGGUCUGAGAGGACGACCAGCCACACUGGGACUGAGACACGGCCCAGACUCCUACGGGAGGCAGCAGUGGGGAAUUUUGGACAAUGGGCGCAAGCCUGAUCCAGCAAUGCCGCGUGCAGGAAGAAGGCCUUUGGGUUGUAAACUGCUUUUGUACGGAACGAAACGGUCCUGGUUAAUACCUGGGGCUAAUGACGGUACCGUAAGAAUAAGCACCGGCUAACUACGUGCCAGCAGCCGCAGUAA
This 498-nucleotide ribosomal RNA is filed under the name uncultured bacterium. Its description in RNAcentral is "partial 16S ribosomal RNA". It matches the Rfam family "Bacterial small subunit ribosomal RNA", at positions 30 to 523 of the family's 1533-position model. The record is from RNAcentral.